This 268-nucleotide unclassified non-coding RNA is filed under the name Hevea brasiliensis (rubber tree). Lineage: Eukaryota; Viridiplantae; Streptophyta; Magnoliopsida; Malpighiales; Euphorbiaceae. The record is from RNAcentral.
GUCCCUUGUUUCACCCAUGUUCUAUAAACAAACAAACAGAUCUCGAAUUAGUGGUGCAGAUAUAUAAACUGAUCCAGGGUUACUAUUGAAUACAACAAGGAUUGAUUUAGAUCUUUUGAAAUAAAUUAGGAACAAAAAUCAAUUGAUGGGGGAAAACAAUUAGGGUUGUGAAAACAAAUUGAUCAGGGUUUUAUUAAAAAAUUUAAAAAGGAAGGAGAAAUUGGGAUUGGAGGAAUAAGUAUACCUGCUAGGCUCUGAAAAAAAGGUG